This 72-nucleotide small nucleolar RNA is filed under the name Pteropus vampyrus (large flying fox). RNAcentral's name for it is "Small nucleolar RNA snR60/Z15/Z230/Z193/J17 (ENSPVAG00000027709.1)". It matches the Rfam family "Small nucleolar RNA SNORD77". Rfam says of the family: U77 belongs to the C/D family of snoRNAs. It is predicted to guide 2'O-ribose methylation of large 28S rRNA subunit at position A1521. Lineage: Eukaryota; Metazoa; Chordata; Mammalia; Chiroptera; Pteropodidae. The record is from RNAcentral.
CAGAUACUAUGAUGGUUGCAUAGUUCAGCAGAUUGACUUGUGACGAGAUGUACCAUUUGUCUGAUGUGUCUG